GCAUGUACCGCAGCUUAAUAUGGCUGAUUGCUGUUGUAGUUCGUGAUUUUACUUGGAGAGGUUAAUAUGACUGUAUGUUAAAUUAUGGUGUAUUACUUUUCUACCGCGAAUAUGUGAUUGAUUUGUGGCUUAUCAAAUAUUGUUCACUUCAUCUUUAUUACAGAACUUUCUAGUACAGCCUUGAUUCUGUGAGUGUUGUUAAAGUAUGGCUGGUAAGGAUGGGGCUGAUGAAGUAUUGAAACAAGGUCUAAUGGUGAAAAGAUCGCAGAAUAAGAAGAGAUUCACUCCAGUUAACUAUAAACAGCGGUGGUUUGUCCUGACGCGAAAUUACCUCUUCUACUACGACACAGAUGGUGAGGAUGUGAAUUGCGAGUGCCUCAGAGUAAGCAAACCCCCUGCUGGGUUGGCUGAUUUGUCCUGUCUGCACAGCCUUCACUUUCUCUUAAGUAGGGUACGAGACACAGUAAUUCUCUUUUGUUUUUACAACAUUUCUGUAGUUUGAAUAGUGGUAGAUCUUGGAUUUUGAAACAGUUUUAUUUAUUAGCUCACUGAGUGUGUAGUUUUGGUAAUUUAUUGGUGCAUUGUUCACAUUUUAUAGUUUCUGUGGCUUAAUUAUCGGUGAAAGAAGUUGCAUGAAAAUUUUGUAUGUCCAGAGCAGACAGUGAUGUGAGAUGUAGAUGAGUUCACAGAGUUUCUCAUUUCAUUUUGAAGAUGUAAUUUAUUCAGAAAAUGUCACUGAUUCUACCUUUGCUUACUAUGGUUACAGUCAGUGUCAAAGUUAAUCAUAAAGGACUGUAACACUUCCUUCGUUCUAUACAAAUGGUGAAGUAACUCUGAGAGCUUUGCACCUUCACAGUGAAUAAAGGACAAACUUUCUGUUCUGCAUACACAUAGAUGACUUGGUGUGCUUAUUUUGUGCAAUUCUGAGAAAGAAUGAAGCCUUAUAGAAAUGUAUGGGCACUAAAAUGCCCAUGUAAUUAUGUACUGAUAUAAAAUAAAGGUAAGACUUCAGGCCAUACCAUAGCUCAGGCAGUUAGUUGCUGUCUUCUCACCAUGCAAGAUGGAUUCAGUCCUAGGACAAUGUAUAUAGUUUUGGCAAGA
Cryptotermes secundus is the source of this 1101-nucleotide RNA transcript. It is a transcript of the gene named tyrosine-protein kinase Btk29A-like, with no coding region annotated. The transcript has 3 exons. NCBI's taxonomy places the organism in Eukaryota, Metazoa, Arthropoda, Insecta, Blattodea, Kalotermitidae. The record is from RefSeq and is a predicted model, not a curated record.